CAGUCGCCGCGGGAAUACGAAGGGGGCUAGCGUUGCUCGGAAUGACUGGCCGUAAAGGGCGCGUAGGCGGCGGCCAAAGUCAGGCGUGAAAUUCCUGGGCUCAACCUGGGGGCUGCGCUUGAUACUUGGUUGCUUGAGUGGGGAAGAGGGUCGUGGAAUUCCCAGUGUAGAGGUGAAAUUCGUAGAUAUUGGGAAGAACACCGGUGGCGAAGGCGGCGACCUGGUCCUUGACUGACGCUGAGGCGCGAAAGCGUGGGGAGCAAACAGGAUUAGAUACCCCUGUAGUCCCUGUCUCUUAUAC
RNAcentral lists this ribosomal RNA (301 nucleotides) under uncultured bacterium. RNAcentral describes it as "partial 16S ribosomal RNA". It matches the Rfam family "Bacterial small subunit ribosomal RNA", at positions 509 to 807 of the family's 1533-position model. The record is from RNAcentral.